GCUCGAGUGGCUAACGGGUGAGUAACACGUGAGUAACCUGCCCUUGACUUUGGGAUAACUUCAGGAAACUGGGGCUAAUACCGGAUAGGAGCUCCUGCUGCAUGGUGGGGGUUGGAAAGUUUCGGCGGUUGGGGAUGGACUCGCGGCUUAUCAGCUUGUUGGUGGGGUAAUGGCCUACCAAGGCGGCGACGGGUAGCCGGCCUGAGAGGGUGGACGGCCACAUUGGGACUGAGAUACGGCCCAG
RNAcentral lists this ribosomal RNA (244 nucleotides) under uncultured Actinomycetales bacterium. RNAcentral describes it as "partial 16S ribosomal RNA". It matches the Rfam family "Bacterial small subunit ribosomal RNA", at positions 89 to 334 of the family's 1533-position model. Lineage: Bacteria; Bacillati; Actinomycetota; Actinomycetes; Actinomycetales. The record is from RNAcentral.